This 253-nucleotide ribosomal RNA is filed under the name uncultured bacterium. Its description in RNAcentral is "partial 16S ribosomal RNA". It matches the Rfam family "Bacterial small subunit ribosomal RNA", at positions 524 to 776 of the family's 1533-position model. The record is from RNAcentral.
UACGAGGGGUGCGAGCGUUGCUCGGAAUCAUUGGGCGUAAAGCGAGUGUAGGUGGCCGCAAAAGUCGGGGGUGAAAUCCCAGGGCUCAACCCUGGAAGUGCCUUCGAUACUAUGUGGCUUGAGUGUGGGAGAGGGUGCUAGAAUUCCUGGUGUAGUGGUGAAAUACGUAGAGAUCAGGAGGAACAUCGGUUGCGAAGGCGAGUGCCUGGCCCAACACUGACACUCAGACUCGAAAGCGUGGGGAUCAAACAGG